GCGCCUUGCCAGCCCGCUCAAGAACUACAAAUGAAUUGACGGGGGAGCACUACGAACGGGUGGAGCCUGCGGUUUAAUUGGAUUCAACGCCGGAAAUCCUCGACCGGGGGCGACAGCAAUAUGAAGGUCAGGCUGAAGACCUUACCCGAUUAGCUGAGAGGUGGUGCAUGGCCGUCGUCAGUUCGUACUGUGAAGCAUCCUGUUAAGUCAGGCAACGAGCGAGACCCACGUCCACAGUUGCCAGCAUACCCUCCGGGGUGAUGGGUACACUGUGGAGACCGCCGCUGCUAAAGCGGAGGAAGGAGUGGGCAACGGUAGGUCAGUAUGCCCCGAAUCUCCCGGGCUACACGCGGGCUACAAUGGUUGGUACAAUGGGCAUCUACCCCGAAAGGGGAAGGAAAUCUCUUAAAGCCAAUCGUAGUUCGGAUUGAGGGCUGCAACUCGCCCUCAUGAAGCUGGAAUCCGUAGUAAUCGCGUUUCAACAGAACGCGGUGAAUACGUCCCUGCUCCUU
RNAcentral lists this ribosomal RNA (512 nucleotides) under uncultured Methanosaeta sp. RNAcentral's name for it is "bacterial SSU rRNA". It matches the Rfam family "Archaeal small subunit ribosomal RNA", at positions 858 to 1338 of the family's 1478-position model. The record is from RNAcentral. Lineage: Archaea; Methanobacteriati; Methanobacteriota; Methanomicrobia; Methanotrichales; Methanotrichaceae.